Paramuricea clavata is the source of this 645-nucleotide non-coding RNA. The record is from the annotation of a GenBank genome assembly. NCBI's taxonomy places the organism in Eukaryota, Metazoa, Cnidaria, Anthozoa, Malacalcyonacea, Plexauridae.
AACAGGUCACGUGACCAGCUCCCACCAGGGUCUUUCCUCCACAAGAGGUAAGAGCCUGGAACGAGGUUGAGCCGAAGUUUGCAGUUUUCACAGAGAACAGCUGGGGGUUUUAGUUUAAAUUCAAUUUAAUUGACACACUAGGAAUAUUUACAGUUUGUUUUUACGCUCAACGCCAUAUGGACUGUUUUAAUUUCGUCGAAUUGAAAAUUCACCUUCUAGGUGAGGAUGCAUUUUCCGCGCAAAAUUGCGAGGUUGAUUGAGAGAAAGGUUGUAUUGCUAGGUUUCACUAAGCACCAUCGUGCAGCAGAUGCUGGUCAACCUGCAGUUAUCAGAGUGACAAAAAAUUGAGUUUAAUUAUCAUGCUCCUGUAGCUACAUGCCGAUUUACGCUACACAACUUUUGCCUAAAACUGUCGCAUGCAACCUGCUUACAACUUGAUCACCUGUGUAAAUCAAGCACACAACUCACCCAUGACAACGUAGGUGAGUUGUGUGCUUGAUUUACACAGUACAACUCAAGUUGUAAGCAGGUUGCAUGCGACAGUUUUAGGCAAAAGUUGUGUAGUGUCGUAGGUGAGUUGUGUGUUUGAUUUACACAGUACAACUCAAGUUGUAAGCAGGUUGCAUGCGACAGUUUUAGGCAAAA